RNAcentral lists this ribosomal RNA (165 nucleotides) under Croton nobilis. RNAcentral describes it as "5.8S ribosomal RNA". It matches the Rfam family "5.8S ribosomal RNA". Rfam says of the family: 5.8S ribosomal RNA (5.8S rRNA) is a component of the large subunit of the eukaryotic ribosome. Lineage: Eukaryota; Viridiplantae; Streptophyta; Magnoliopsida; Malpighiales; Euphorbiaceae. The record is from RNAcentral.
ACGACUCUCGGCAACGGAUAUCUCGGCUCUCGCAUCGAUGAAGAACGCAGCGAAAUGCGAUACUUGGUGUGAAUUGCAGAAUCCCGCGAACCAUCGAGUUUUUGAACGCAAGUUGCGCCCGAAGCCUUUCGGCCGAGGGCACGUCUGCCUGGGUGUCACGCAACA